RNAcentral lists this long non-coding RNA (358 nucleotides) under Hordeum vulgare. RNAcentral describes it as "long non-coding RNA (HVUL_LNC010774)". Lineage: Eukaryota; Viridiplantae; Streptophyta; Magnoliopsida; Poales; Poaceae. The record is from RNAcentral.
CCACAGCCCACUCCAUUACCUAGCCCGGCGUGGCUACAAUGGAGGCGGCUGUACCGUUGACCGACGCUGGAUCCCGCAAGACGACGCCCGUCGUACCGCACGCGUCCUGCGUGGAGAGCACGCGCCAAUCCCAUAGGCUAGCCGGCGGGUCCCAUAGCUAGAUGGGACCUUGAAGCCGGGGGCCCCUCAAGCGACAAGACUAAACCUCGGUGGUCCCCCUAGCCGGCCUGAGAGGCUGCCAGCGGGGUCCACCCAUACUGUACCUUGUAUCCAUUUUGUAGGCCGGUGGGUUCGACUAUAAAACCCCCUGCCCCCCUCCAAGCAGAGGGUCGGCCAUUCUCACACCCACACACACCAC